Molecule: long non-coding RNA, 2124 nt
Filed under: Homo sapiens (human)
Lineage: Eukaryota; Metazoa; Chordata; Mammalia; Primates; Hominidae
Description: HSALNT0354229
Source: RNAcentral
UGCACCUUUAGUCCCAGCUACUCAGGCUGAGGCAGAAGAACUGCUUGAACCUGGGAGGCAGAAAUUGCAGUGAGCCGAGAGCCACUCCACUCCAACCUGGGCAACAGAGCAAGACUCCGUCUCCAGAAAAAAAAGAGAGAGAAGGGGGUUAGGAUUGGAAUGGGACACACAAAAAGGACUUCUAAGCUGGUUGAAUUCAAGCAUGCAAAACCCAUGGGUAUAGAAGGCCAACUGUAAUAAUUUUGUCUGCUCCAUGAAGAAUAACGAAUAGACUCAAAGGGAUAAUCAAAGAAGCAGCAAGACCACUUAGGAAGCUCCUGCAAUCAUCCAGGAGGUUAGUAUUAUAGGAACAGAAGUAGAAAUAACAGAAAGUAUCAAAUUCUGGAUAUCUUCCUUUUUGUAUAGUUUCAGCAUCUAUACACAUCAAAAAAUUCUUCCAAAAUGCUAAUAACUUUUAAAAAUAUUGUUAUAGAAAUAAAAGUCUUUGGGAAAGUUUUUUAAAACACAUAGCAACUGGAAGACUACACUUUAAGAGAUGGUUAAACAAAUCUGUGAGAGAUAGUGGCUACAAAGUGUGAAGACUCUAAAGUUAAAAACUUCUUGUUUUGAUUCUAGCUCAACCACUUACUAGACAAGAAAGUUAUAGCAGCAUUUCCCUAUGCCUCAAUUUUAUCAUUUGUCAAAUGGAAAUAAUAAUAGCUACCUUAUAGUACUCCUCUGAUUAAAUAUAACAAUGAAUAUAAAGAACUUAACUGACAUAUCGUAACAACUCAACAUUGCCAUAGGUUCCCAGGAUUACUUUUUCCCAUUGCUACUAUUAUUUGUAAUAUCCCUUUUAGAACUGGUUACAUAUUCAUUUUAAAAUUAUCACAAUAAAAAUGAACUGUAAGUGUUCCUGUUAUAUAUUUAAUGAUAUGGUUCUUAACAGAAAACAGUUUCUGCUUUAUACAUUAAAAAAACUAUAAUUUUUAUUAUAGAUUAUUUUAAACUUGAUGGAUCAAUCCUCUUAAGGAUAACGAAUUUGGAUUUGCAAGAAUUCAAGGCAAUUCCGGGUAACAUUUUUUUCUUCACUUCAAAAUUAUAAAAUUUAAAGAUCUCAUAAAAUCAACAGAGUAUGAGAAGAAUAAUUAAAUAUGAGCCAUAAUUAUUUGGACUUUUUGGUUAGUUUCAGUUGGUCACAUACAUGAUUUUAUCAUGUUGUAUAUCUGCGUGUAUCAGUUAGGUUCACAAGAUAAACUCUAGGGCCAAAUACUUAAUGCCCUUUCAUAUUGGAAAUGCUUCUAUUAAAGAUACAUAAGACAGGCUGGGCAUGGUGGCUCACGCCUGUAAUCUCAGCACUUUGGGAGGCUGAGACGGGCAGAUCACUUGACAUCAGAAGUUUGAGAACAGCCUGGCCAACAUUGUGAAACCCCGUCUCUACUAAAUAUACAGAAAAUUAGCCAGACGUGGUGGCGCAUGCCUGUAAUCUCAGCCACUUGGGAGGCUGAGACAGGAGAAUCGCUUGAACCCAGGAGGUGGAGGUUGCAGUGAGCCUGUAAUAAGGGUUAAAAAGAAAAAAAAAAAAGUUUUCCUCUGCUUAGCAGCUCAAUUCAAGAACAGUUAUAACACUGUCCAAAAAGCCAAGGACAGAGGAAUGGGCUCCAGACACCCCCGCCCCCUCCAGAGCAAGGUUAAGGAAAAAAAAAAGAGAGAGAAAGACAAAUUCCUUUAUUGUUACUCCUUUCCCUUGCCUCUUAAGCAUAACGGUGUUUUACAAAUGCCUGUAUUUAGCCAAUUCUUGUUUUUCUUUUGACACAGCUAAAAGGCCACCAGCUAUGCAAGGCCACAAGUUAUGCACUAUAUGAUUAACUACCUUUGUUUUGCUCUUAUGAGCCCACUUAUAAAAACCUCGCUCUGUCUUUAUUCAAGGCCCAGCUUUUUGGAGGUAAAUCCACUGAGCCGGUGUGUACCUCACAAUAAAUAUCCUCCUGUAUUCACGCAUACUGGUCUCUCUAAUCCUCUGCGUCCCGCAACAAGCUGAGAGCGCGCCACUGCACUUGCAGUCUUGCACAUAGCAAGACUAUGUCUCAACAACAACAAAAAAGGGUCUCGCUCUGUUGCCAAGGCUGGAGUGCAGUGGAGUGA